UACAGAGGGUGCAAGCGUUAAUCGGAAUUACUGGGCGUAAAGCGUGCGUAGACGGUUAUGUAAGUCAGGUGUGAAAGCCCCGGGCUCAACCUGGGAAUGGCAUUUGAGACUGCAUAGCUAGGGUGCGGAAGAGGGAAGCGGAAUUUCCGGUGUAGCGGUGAAAUGCGCAGAUAUCGGGAGGAACACCAAUGGCGAAGGCAGCUCGCUGGGACGGUACUGACGCUGAGGCGCGAAAGCGUGGGGAGCAAACAGG
This 253-nucleotide ribosomal RNA is filed under the name uncultured bacterium. Its description in RNAcentral is "partial 16S ribosomal RNA". It matches the Rfam family "Bacterial small subunit ribosomal RNA", at positions 524 to 776 of the family's 1533-position model. The record is from RNAcentral.